GAUGAAGAACGCAGUGAAAUGCGAUACGUAAUGUGAAUUGCAAAUUCAGUGAAUCAUCGAGUCUUUGAACGCACAUUGCGCCCCCUGGUAUUCCGGGGGGCAUGCCUGUCCGAGCGUCAUUUCUGCCCUCAAGCACGGCUUGUGUGUUGGGCCCCGUCCUCCGAUUCCGGGGGACGGGCCCGAAAGGCAGCGGCGGCACCGAGUCCGGUCCUCGAGCGUAUGGGGCUUUGUCACCCGCUCUGUAGGCCCGGCCGGCGCUUGCCGAUCAACCCAAAUUUUUAUCCAGGUUGACCUCGGAUCAGGUAGGGAUACCCGCUGAACUUAAGCAUAUCAAUAAGCGGAGGA
RNAcentral lists this unclassified non-coding RNA (345 nucleotides) under soil metagenome. RNAcentral's name for it is "partial contains 5.8S ribosomal RNA, internal transcribed spacer 2, and large subunit ribosomal RNA". The stretch from base 1 to 119 matches the Rfam family "5.8S ribosomal RNA", at positions 35 to 154 of the family's 154-position model. The record is from RNAcentral.